AUUCCAUUCCCAUUCCACGUCGGUGAAGUGCCCCUUUGUCCCGUCCAAACUAGGAUACUUUCGAGAGCGAAAGAGGGGCUGCUAAUCAAAAUGCGAGAUAACAGAUGUUAACAGAUGAAACAUGGGGACCUGAAACAGGUACCCUCUUCUUGGAGGAACCUCAUCGAAGGGCAGCAUCCUGGUCAACAGCACCUGCUUCCCCACAGCGCUCACUCACAUUUAUUUGCUGGAAGGAAGUAAAGAAGUGGAUUGAGCGGAAGUUGUGAGAAAUGGCGAGGGACGGACCAAUGCACAGCUUCUUCCACUUGUCACAGAAGGAAAGGCAUGAGAACAUUCGGCAGCCUGCUCAUGUUCUGCACAAUGGACUAGCAUCGAGAGGAUCCCUCAUAAAAGUUCUGUCGCUAUUGUUACAAUGCAGAGAAAGUGCCUCUGUGCCUGAAGAGAGUUGAGUUUUCCGUCAGCCAGUGUACUCCAUUCCGUAUUAUCUGCGUCAUUGACUUCCAAUUAGUGCACGAUUUUCACUUUGGUGCUGAUUGAAGUUUUGAGGGGAAUGUUAAACAUAAUUCUACACUUUCAGUUGCAAGAGUUUACUCCAACCCUGUGGUUUCACUGUAGAAUGCCCCGCUGACAUUAGGAGACAGGUCUGCUGAGGGGAAGACGAGGAAUGCAACACCAAUCCUUUCUGAGUGGGCAUCAAGACUUGAAAAAAGUCCUGAAGAAAAAAAUGGAGACCUCUUUAUGCAGUGCUGCAUCACCAGGGCUCUCUUCUUGAUGACCCAGAGGAUGAUCCUUUGUAGAAAACAUGGAGAUUGACAGCCUGAAGUCAAAAAAGUUAUUCAGAUGAGCACAUUCUGCAUGUGAAGAAAGUUUAAGAAGUCAUCUAAUCUGUUUCUAUUCUUAUUUCAUGGAUGCCCCCUUUAAAAGCCCCCAUCCUAAGGAAGACAUUUCCAGGCAGCCAAGUGAGGACCGGUAACAAAGACUUGGGCAUUGGAGAAGAGUCACUUCUGACUACAGAAUGCCCUGAUGGGAAUGGCAGUGGAGCCAGAUGGAAGAUGAUGGGCUGGUGAUCCCUGAUCUCAGUGUUAGCAAAUUGGCAGGGUGAAGCCUGAACCAGCUAUGGUCAUUUUUUCUACUGGAAGGAAGGCCAGCCUGGGAUGAAACCAACACAUCAAACAGGACACAGCCAAGGGAAUCUCAGAGAAUGAGCGGGGGACCCUGGAUGAGACAUUCAGACUCAGCAUUCCUGGUUCUCCAGCUUGCAUAAUCUCGCAGCCUCCAUAAUAAGUCCUGCGCUAAAACGAAGACACAAAAUCGGAACCAGAUACCAUCCUCAUCCUUGAUGGGCUGAGGGUAAGUGAAGAACAGAUGAGUUAUAACAGUUACACUUCAGGUGAAUGAGUGCUCCCAAAAGACAUAACUGGGAAGGAUGGUUCCUGUCACAGAUUUCUCCAUUAGCCAUGUCUCUCCCCCCAACUGCACCUUCAGGAAUAGCCCACGGCCUCAGGGAUCAACCUGUGUCAUCCCUCUGACCAGAAUGACUGGUCUAAGAAUAAACCUGUUACCCCAGCCGGGAAAACUAAAGCUGGUAGGGAAGACUUUUUUCCUCCCUGCUCACCAUCUAGGCCAGUGACAUCACUAUGGCAGGAAAGAAUGCUACCAACUCCCUGAGAGGAGCAAAGAUGAGACAGACGCGCAGCUUCCCAACAGCACUGAGGCCUGGGGCCAGCCCAGCUCUUUUCUGUGGCUUGACUAUUUGAUCCAGUAAACCCCUCCUCCUUUUAUUUCAUUUUGCUUGUGCCUUACUUGCUUUAUUUCAUUGAGCUAAUUUGAAUUGAGACUCUGUCCCUUGUCACCAAGAAAGUGUCAUUUACUCUAUAUAUCAAAAUAUGGGUGAGUAAAGGGGCGAGAGCAUACGGGCGGGUGGGUGCACCGAGCCCCGGCUAGACGCCUAAGAAAGGCUUCCUGGAGGAAGUGAUACCGUAACGGGAGAUGUAAUAAAUGACAGCUGGAUCCCCGAGCUGCUCUGCUCCAUUGUUUGAUUUCCCUUUAUAAAACACUUCUAUCUUUUUCUUUUCUCCUCCGAGAAAAAGUAGGAUUCAAAAAAAAAUUAAAAGUUGACGGGACCUUGUAGGGGUGGUGGGCAAGGGUCGUGGGAUGAGUGUCCAGCAUCGUUCUCUUUGUAGAUAGGAAUGAGCUGCCUAAGGAGCAGAAGCAUAAAAGGAGGAUGCCUCAGAGUUCAAGGUGAUGUAGGUUUUGCAUAGCCGGGGUGCUACUGACACCUCCACGGACAGCUGAGACAGCCGAAGACCUGAGCUUGUGCUGCCUUAGGCAGGGGGUUACCCCAUCAGUCCUACUGUAGUCACCAGCCCAAUCGAGCCCUUCGCUCCCAAGGACUAUGCUGCCUGCGCAUGUCCUCACUUCCCCCACCACCUGCCUCCAUCAUCCUCCUGGGGAAGAUAGAGAGGCUCUUCCUGAAUGUUACAGAGUCUCAGCUGCUGGACAAGGCAGGGAGGAUAUUUUACUGCAGGGAACCAGAAGCACCAAGACAUGGGACUGCAAAACAGCACCUUGAGCCCAGGGAACUCCAAGUAGCACCGCCACUAGGCUGGACAGUAAGUCUCUGGUAACCCAUGUGUACAUGAUCUUGAAAGGAUGUAUCAAGGGAAAGUGUUUUGCAGUUGUAAAGUGCUCCACAGACGCUAUUUUCUGUUAUGACGCAUAUCGUAGGGUUGCUGUGAGACCCAAAUGAGAUCACACGCCCAUAAAGUUGCUCUGGAGCCUGGAAAAGCACCACGCACGUGCUAAUUAACAGAGUUCGAGUUUGGCUGCAUUACGUCUCAGACCACAAAGGAAUAGUAAAAAUUGAAAUAACAGAGAAUUUCUCUCGAAUCCACAGUAUUAAAUGUCUUUGUAAACUGGGUGUUUUAAUUAAAAUACUUCCUAUCACCUCUUUACAGAUAAACGAAUGAUUUCAUUGUCUAUUAAAAAUAAUUUCCUGCUAACAAUUAAUUAGACCACCAGGCUUCAGGCUUCAAGCCUAAGAUUCGUUUUUGUUGAUUUACCACGUCACCAAAAAAGCUCAGUAGGGCAUCUAAAAUAUACAUGUAUGUAUGUAUGUGGGUAUGUGUGCACAUAUAUUUUUUUUUGUUUUCAAAUCUGUAUCCAUUAUCUUAGUUAAAGACAUCAUUACUUCACUCCUAAAGUGUCGUAAUGUUGUCCUUACUGCUCCCUCUGUCUCUAGCCUCUCACCUCUCUGCUCUCAAAUCCAUCAUUCCCACAGCUGCUCAGAAACUCAACAGCAUUUAAAUCAUUCCACCCAGCUUGGCUGUCAUGUGGCUUCUUUCAUUGUGAAAAGACAUAAAAUAGAAAUAAAAAAAUAUAUAAGAAAAGAAAAGAAAAAUUAUCUUUUAUUCCAGAUGGUAUAAUCAUUUACCUAGACACCCAGGAGAGUUAGCGAAAACAUCACUGGUCCUUAUAGGUAAAUUUUUUAAUGUUGCUAUACAGUAAUUACCAAAGGACCAUUGUUUCCCUACCUAAUUGCAAAAACCAGUCACAACAUGUGAUGGGAAACAAGACACCCAUCUUUGGGGUAUCAUAUAGAUGCUGAGUGUUGUCGCUUGAGGUUCCAAAAAAUUCUUAUUGUUCUAGCAGCCUCACAGAGUCUCCUGUGAAAAGAGUUUCUGUUUCUAGGCCCUUUUCUCUAACCGCAAAUGUUUCGACCCAGCUCCAAGGUCAAGGUGAGAAGACAUUUUGCUUCAUAUAUCUCCAAAAGCAAGCUAAAAAAAAAAAAAAAAGAGCAAUGUAGAGAUGCUUCCCUGCCUCCUUCGUAGAAAUACAUUUUCCUUCUCACUCACAAAACAUUGUUAGCUCCUUAAAACAUUUUUAUUGCCAGUGCAAACCCUGGCUCUACACAUAUCUCCCACUUGGGGUGGUUUUCUUGGACAAAGGGAUGGCCUGUCCUUAAGAAGUAUUUAAGUCUCUACCUCCCACCAGAUAACAAUGUUUGCAGUUUUUAAUAAAAGAUUGUUUUCAAUUUCUGUCCACCAGGUUCGCAAAAUUCUGAAGUACCUGCAUGCCCUGAUAUUGAUGGAGGGUCUUCUUUGAAGUGCAAGGCCCCAGUUGUCUGCACUUUCCUGGUUUGAAACUUGUUUAAGCUGUGAUCUGACGGGAAAGCAGAAGUUCCCCUAGGAGGGGUGUAGGAGGGGAUGGAGAGUGUUCCUGGCAGAGAAGACAGUGUGGUGGGGUAAAGCAGGUAUUAGGAGAGAGAGAUCACUAGGAGGUGAGUAUAGCUGAAGCACGGAGACUGGGAUGGAGAUGCAGGAGGGUGGCUGCUGAAUGAAAGCGACAAGGGUAUAGAUUAAAAAUAUAAAUAGUAGGUCUAGACCACAAAGUUUAAGAAAACACUAAAUUGUCACUUCCCUUCAUCAUACUUGUUUCUUAUACCGUGUAAGUUGUUGGUUCACAGGAAGAGGUCAGUGGGAAAAUGCUCUUUUUCUGUCCAGAUUCUAAUCUGAAUGAGACCCGUUUUGUUUCUGUUAUUCUCCCAAAAGUUAACAUAGGUAAUGACAGCUAUCGGGAGACCAAGAAAAAUCCCAUCCACUGCAAACCCCAUUCUUCAUAUCCUAGAAUUCACAGCUCCUGCCAUUAUACUAAAUCCAGAAAAGUGACCAUGGUCAGAAACUUCGGCGUAAGUAUUAGUGACUUCUCAACCUUCCCAUGGGGAAUUUGGCGGGGUUUCCCCUACAGAAUACAAACUUUUCACUGCAAGCGUUCGUCCUCACAGACACCUAUCAACUAUGGGCCAAUGAUAGAAUCAAAAUGCCCAGGUUCCAAGUUGGCAAUAUGCACCAAGACCUUUAAUAUAUUUAUCAAUUAUGUUAAAUAGAAAUUUUAACCUAAGGCUAUUAAUUACAGCAAUAUAUAAACAUGUUUUAAAAGGAAAUGAUUUAAAUGUCAGCCAGCAGGCAGGUUUUUAAAAAAUCUAUCUUUCUGAUGCAGCCCCCCCCAAAAAAACUAAAAAUCUUGUUUUUGAAUAAUAUUUAACAAUAUGGAGUAAUUCUCAAAAUAUAUCAUGUGAAAACCUGAUUAUCAAACGGUAUACUAAUGACAAUUUUCAUUUUUUCAUAUCUGCACUAUGAAGAUAUAAAACUUGGAAGGCAAGACUCUAAAAUAUUAACAUGUGUUUUCUCUGAAAGAUAGGGCUUUGGGUGGUUUGCUUUUCUUGUCGUCCAUUCUGUUUUUUUUUUUUUCCCCGAGUGUUUAAAAAAAUGUAAUAUUGUUACAGUAAGAAAAAAAAAAACUAAAAAAAAAAAUUCAGAAGAGCCUGUGUUUUACAUGGCAAAGUGGAUCCUGACUGGGUGAGCAUCUGAAUCACACAGCAGUCUUUGUGCAAAUAAACAUGGUCUGAUUUCUCUGAGUGUCCCAGAAAAAUGAAAUGUUUCUGCGAGAUUUAUCUGUCCAUGUCUUUGCCUGAGCAAGGAAACACAAACACAAAUACACAUGUUUUUUCUGUUGUGCUGCCCUAGAAUAUUUGGGAGUUUGGCUCCAGGUCCAGAAUUCCAGUUGCCUCCUCCAAAACUGGGAGCCUCUUGCGUCUGUGAAACGCAAGCUGCAGCUCCCAAGGGAGAAGACACUCCUCAGCUUCCUGCCUCGUCGCAAAGAAAACCGCCCUGUGUGCACAGGCCUCCCCACUAGGGUAGAAAAUGAAAACCGCUUGGAAAAAGAGCAGAAUGCUUGCAAUAGUUUGUUUGGUGUCUUAGAAAAUAAAAUUCGUCUUUCUUCACCAGA
This is a long non-coding RNA of Pteropus alecto (black flying fox), 5787 nucleotides long. RefSeq lists it as uncharacterized. The record is from RefSeq and is a predicted model, not a curated record. The transcript is spliced from 9 exons. NCBI's taxonomy places the organism in Eukaryota, Metazoa, Chordata, Mammalia, Chiroptera, Pteropodidae.